GAUGAACGCUGGCGGCGUGCCUAAUACAUGCAAGUCGAGCGAACAGACGAUGAGCUUGCUCCUCUGACGUUAGCGGCGGACGGGUGAGUAACACGUGGAUAACCUACCUAUAAGACUGGGAUAACUUCGGGAAACCGGAGCUAAUACCGGAUAAUAUAUUGAACCGCAUGGUUCAAUAGUGAAAGACGGUUUUGCUGUCACUUAUAGAUGGAUCCGCGCUGCAUUAGCUAGUUGGUAAGGUAACGGCUUACCAAGGCAACGAGGCGUAGCCGACCUGAGAGGGUGAUCGGCCACACUGGAACUGAGACACGGUCCAGACUCCUACGGGAGGCAGCAGUAGGGAAUCUUCCGCAAUGGGCGAAAGCCUGACGGAGCAACGCCGCGUGAGUGAUGAAGGUCUUCGGAUCGUAAAACUCUGUUAUUAGGGAAGAACAAAUGUGUAAGUAACUAUGCACGUCUUGACGGUACCUAAUCAGAAAGCCACGGCUAACUACGUG
Molecule: ribosomal RNA, 497 nt
Filed under: uncultured bacterium
Lineage: Bacteria
Description: partial 16S ribosomal RNA
Rfam family: Bacterial small subunit ribosomal RNA
Source: RNAcentral